AAUUUCAUUAACGCCACACACAUAUCGCAACCUGUCACUGGGUGCCCGGAUUUUUCAAAGCGGGUGGUGAGCGGGGAUAUGUGGAGG
RNAcentral lists this small RNA (87 nucleotides) under marine eukaryotic metagenome. RNAcentral describes it as "t44 RNA". It matches the Rfam family "t44 RNA", at positions 5 to 89 of the family's 95-position model. Rfam says of the family: This family consists of a number of bacterial RNA genes of between 135 and 170 bases in length. The t44 gene is found between the map and rpsB genes in all species in the full alignment apart from Shigella flexneri. The record is from RNAcentral.